RNAcentral lists this long non-coding RNA (1299 nucleotides) under Malus domestica (apple). RNAcentral describes it as "long non-coding RNA (MDOM_LNC018433)". The record is from RNAcentral. Lineage: Eukaryota; Viridiplantae; Streptophyta; Magnoliopsida; Rosales; Rosaceae.
UCGUCAGUCUCCCCGACAGCAAUCAGCUUCUGGUUAAUCUCCACCAUGCGGUCCAGUUUCCUUUUGAAUUCUGGGUUCUCAACAUCGAGCACUGCUGGAAAAAUUCUGGCUGUAGUGCGAUUUGUCUGCGUAGGGAACCCAAAACGAUCAUUAGAAACAAUAAGGACAUCGGAUAACGGGAAUGGAUACGCAAGGGAAUUGUUAUUGCCAGUGCAGGCUGACCUCAAUGAUAACGUGCAUAUCAAAUUCUUUAGUGUUGAGGCCGAUGCCUUGGUAGAAAGCUGUUCGCUGGCAAUCGUUGAGGUACAUUGUCACAUACACCUGCAUGGGUAGAAGAUGCGUUAUUUGGGAACUGAGUAAUGGUGCGAUGCAUCCAUUGGUUGCUUACCGACAAGCAGAAGAAUCGGGACCAGAGUUUAGCCUUCCAGUCAUUGAGGAAUUGGGGUUGGGCCUUCAUGAGAGCAGAGAAGAAAUCGCCAUGGCGGUUCUCGUCCUGGCACCAGUUCUCGAAGUAGUUGAAAAUGGGGUAACACUGGUACUCGGGGUUCUCCUUGAGAUGCCGGUAGAUGGUAAUGUAUCUCCAGUACCCAAUCUUCUCGGACAAGUAAGUUGCAUAGAAGAUGAACUUUGGCUUGAAGAAUGUGUACUUCCUCGCCUUUGUCAGAAACCCCAAGUCCAAGGCCAAAUUGAAAUCCGACAGGCCCUUGUUCAAAAAACCAGCAUGCCGAGCUUCAUCCCGAGACAUGAGCGAGAAGAUCUCUGCCACCACUGGAUUUGUUUUCUGCAACAGAUUCAUUUCAUUUCUUGAUUAAUUCGAUGCUAUCACCAAAAGGCCUCGGCACAAAUCAAAACUCAAACCAUUCGAUAUGAGCUAUAUUUAAUUUUGGAAAGAAACACAAUCAACCAACCGACCAACCUUGAGCCUUCUUCCGAGCUCUUUGUACAGAAGGAAGCCGGAGAACUCAGCAGUGCACGACCUCUCCAAGAACUCGACAAAGAUCUGGCGGAGCGGGCCCUGCAGUUUGUCAGCAGCCUCCUUGAACUCCUUGUUCCUGACAAAGUGUGUCUGGUUGUAGUCUGUCUUGAACUCCUGCAGCAGCGCCUCGAACUCCGCCUCGUUCAAGUUCUUGUUGAUCUCCGUGUUGAACAGCGUCUCCAUCUCGUCAAAGUCCGUCGUGUAGAAUCUCGGCGCCAAAAGGGUCUCCUUUGGGGGUGUUUUCGGAGCCUUCUUGGGCGUCUUUUUGGCCGCUGCUGCCGCCGUCUCUGCCCUGGCCGACAUCCUCAGCAUCGAAGAAGCUC